RNAcentral lists this ribosomal RNA (435 nucleotides) under uncultured bacterium. RNAcentral describes it as "bacterial SSU rRNA". It matches the Rfam family "Bacterial small subunit ribosomal RNA", at positions 29 to 511 of the family's 1533-position model. The record is from RNAcentral.
AGCGAACGCUGGCGGCAGGCCUAAUACAUGCAAGUCGAGCGCACCUUCGGGUGAGCGGCGGACGGGUGAGUAACGCGUGGGAAUGUGCCCUUUGGUACGGAACAACUGAGGGAAACUUCAGCUAAUACCGUAUGUGCCCUUCGGGGGAAAGAUUUAUCGCCAUUGGAGCAGCCCGCGUUGGAUUAGGUAGUUGGUGAGGUAAAGGCUCACCAAGCCUACGAUCCAUAGCUGGUCNGAGAGGAUGAUCAGCCACACUGGGACUGAGACACGGCCCAGACUCCUACGGGAGGCAGCAGUAGGGAAUCUUGCGCAAUGGGCGAAAGCCUGACGCAGCCAUGCCGCGUGAAUGAUGAAGGUCUUAGGAUUGUAAAAUUCUUUCACCGGGGAAGAUAAUGACGGUACCCGGAGAAGAAGCCCCGGCUAACUUCGUGCCAG